AAUGUCGUAACAAGGUUUCCGUAGGUGAACCUGCGGAAGGAUCACUAUCGUAGGGCUCCGGCCCUGUCGAGAUAGAACCCUUGCCUUUUUGGAGUACCUUUCGUUUCCUCGGCAGGCUCGCCUGCCAAUGGGGACCCCUAAAAAUCACUUUGCAGUACCUGUAACAGUCUGAACAAAUCAAAGCAAAAGUUAAAAU
Molecule: unclassified non-coding RNA, 196 nt
Filed under: plant metagenome
Description: partial contains small subunit ribosomal RNA and internal transcribed spacer 1
Rfam family: Eukaryotic small subunit ribosomal RNA (bases 1-47)
Source: RNAcentral